Molecule: ribosomal RNA, 459 nt
Filed under: Tropidosaura gularis
Lineage: Eukaryota; Metazoa; Chordata; Lepidosauria; Squamata; Lacertidae
Description: partial 12S small subunit ribosomal RNA
Rfam family: Bacterial small subunit ribosomal RNA
Source: RNAcentral
GCUAAGCCCUAAACAUUGAUAGGCUACCACACAAUGCCUUCCGCCAGAGAACUACAAGUGAAAAACUUAAAACUCAAAGGACUUGACGGUGUCCCACACCGAUCUAGAGGAGCCCGUCCUAUAAUCGAUACCCCCCGCUCCACCCAACCUUUACUUGCCUUUCAGCCUAUAUACCGCCGUCGACAGUCUACCCUAUGAAGGUAAAACAGUAGGCACAAUAACUAAGUCGCUAGUACGUCAGGUCAAGGUGUAGCAAAUGUUAAGGAAGAGAUUGGCUACAUUUUUAAACUUUAAAAAUACGAAGUGCAUCAUGAAACCCUGCAUGAAGGUGAAUUUAGUAGUAAAAUAAAUAAGAGAGUUUAUUUUAACCUCGCUCUGGGACGCGUACACACCGCCCGUCACCCUCCUCAAUAAUAUAUACUACAUUAAAUAAACACAAUAUGUAACCCUAGAGGAGGC